CCGGUAAACGGCGGCCGUAACUAUAACGGUCCUAAGGUAGCGAAAUUCCUUGUCGGGUAAGUUCCGACCUGCACGAAUGGCGUAAUGAUGGCCAGGCUGUCUCCACCCGAGACUCAGUGAAAUUGAACUCGCUGUGAAGAUGCAGUGUACCCGCGGCAAGACGGAAAGACCCCGUGAACCUUUACUAUAGCUUGACACUGAACAUUGAGCCUUGAUGUGUAGGAUAGGUGGGAGGCUUAGAAGUGUGGACGCCAGUCUGCAUGGAGCCGACCUUGAAAUACCACCCUUUAAUGUUUGAUGUUCUAACGUUGACCCGUAAUCCGGGUUGCGGACAGUGUCUGGUGGGUAGUUUGACUGGGGCGGUCUCCUCCUAAAGAGUAACGGAGGAGCACGAAGGUUGGCUAAUCCUGGUCGGACAUCAGGAGGUUAGUGCAAUGGCAUAAGCCAGCUUGACUGCGAGCGUGACGGCGCGAGCAGGUGCGAAAGCAGGUCAUAGUGAUCCGGUGGUUCUGAAUGGAAGGGCCAUCGCUCAACGGAUAAAAGGUACUCCGGGGAUAACAGGCUGAUACCGCCCAAGAGUUCAUAUCGACGGCGGUGUUUGGCACCUCGAUGUCGGCUCAUCACAUCCUGGGGCUGAAGUAGGUCCCAAGGGUAUGGCUGUUCGCCAUUUAAAGUGGUACGCGAGCUGGGUUUAGAACGUCGUGAGACAGUUCGGUCCCUAUCUGCCGUGGGCGCUGGAGAACUGAGGGGGGCUGCUCCUAGUACGAGAGGACCGGAGUGGACGCAUCACUGGUGUUCGGGUUGUCAUGCCAAUGGCACUGCCCGGUAGCUAAAUGCGGAAGAGAUAAGUGCUGAAAGCAUCUAAGCACGAAACUUGCC
Molecule: ribosomal RNA, 879 nt
Filed under: Escherichia coli
Lineage: Bacteria; Pseudomonadati; Pseudomonadota; Gammaproteobacteria; Enterobacterales; Enterobacteriaceae
Also listed under: 2 other names
Description: bacterial LSU rRNA
Rfam family: Bacterial large subunit ribosomal RNA
Source: RNAcentral